UACGUGAGUGGCAAGCGUUAUCCGGAAUUACUGGGCGUAAAGAGCGCGUAGGUGUUUUUGAAAGUCAGGGGUGAAAAGUCAGGGCUCAACCUUGGCCUUGCCCUUGAAACUUCAAGAAUAGAGUACGGGAUAGGAGGGCGGAACUACAAGUGUAGCGGUGGAAUGCAUAGAUAUUUGUAGGAAUGCCGAUGACGAAGGUAGCUCUCUGGACCGAUACUGACGCUGAGGUGCGAAAGCUAGGGGAGCAAACAGG
Molecule: ribosomal RNA, 253 nt
Filed under: uncultured bacterium
Lineage: Bacteria
Description: partial 16S ribosomal RNA
Rfam family: Bacterial small subunit ribosomal RNA
Source: RNAcentral